CGUUGAAGCUGAGGAUGAGGAAACCCAAAACGGUCGGCCAGGGGAAGCAGCUGUUAUCACCAUUGUUCUCCGGUUGGGGGUGGUGGUUGGCCUCCUGAUCGACCAGGAGACGCUCAUCCACCGCGGCGGCAUUCACUGGCUGACCGGCCAUGGCUGCUUGGGGCGCCGUCAUGACUGGAGGUGAGGGCUCUUCGUCGAGCUAGGAAAGUGGGUUUUGUGGGUGGAAACAGAAUGUAGCAGGAAAGCUUGGGUUGUAGGAGAGAAAAAGCUUUCACAAUCUCAAGCUAAAGCAAACGAGAACAUCUUCACGGCGCAACUCUGAACUAGAACAGACUGCAACAUAAUAAUCUGCUUCUUACCAGCUUGAAGGCCACGCUUGUUUCAACCUGCUUGCUAAAACCUGCAGAAUGAAGGCAAGUGUUGGAUUGUAACAAUCCUACAAGUCACAAAUAUGAGACUUGUUUGUUCAGCGCACAGAUUAAAACAAACUGUGUGCCACAACCCAUAAAUCUGAAAGCUAAAAGCCUAGAAACACACAAGGCUCCUGGUCGCCAAGGGCUGCCGUGGAGUCGACGCUGUGGUGCUUCGUGACCUGGUGGAGUUUUAUAGGCUUAUAGCUACCACGAAGGCACGAAGCUUCGAGGAAACUUACGAGAUGGUUACACUGGGCCCCACGGUGACACUGACAAGUGCUCCUGUGAGUCGUCUCGCUCCUCCUCGUGGAACUUCACGCAAUCACACGGCUUUGCCGGCCUUCGACCUUCCUCGCCAUUUCCUUGUCACGCGUUUGGCGGACUUUGACACUUUGUAUAGACUAUUUAUGGCCUUGUUUAGUUUUUAAAAAAUUUUCAAGAUUUUUCGUCACAUCAAAUCUUUAGAUCAAAUCUUUGAACAUAUGCAUGAAGCAUUAAAUAUAGAUAAAAAGAAUAACUAAUUGCACAGUUUGUUUGUGAGACAAAUCUUUUAAGCCUAAUUAGUCCAUAAUUGAACAAUAAUAACCAAAUACAAACGAAAAUGCUACACUAUUCAAAACCAACAAAUUUUCCCAACUAAACAAGGCCAUAGCCCAUAGGCCAUAGGGGUGGGGUGUGUGCGGCGCACGUCAACUUAUUCGCUCAGCUGACACUCUUCGUAUCUUAUACGUAGCAUUAUAUAUGGCACACAAAGAUUGAAAAUCUUGCAAUUUGCAGUGCAGCUUACAUUGGCCAGCAGUCAAAUUGUUUAUUAGCGACUUCUUCAAAACUAGGCAACUCCGUCCUCUCUGAAAUUUCCGAUCCAUGAAGGCCCAAGCCCAACCCAACCAGAAUUUCCAUAUUUGAAACUCUUAGAUCUCUUCCUGUUCUGGCGAUGACUGACCACGAUUUGCAUUCAAACCAAACCAGUGGACCUGUUCGAAAGUUAUGCCAAUAUUCUGCAAAUAUAACUCCCGAGUGCCACGGCAAUGCCUGGUCCUAUCCAGUAGUUGUGGCAUUGUGGCUGCUGAGUAGCCACACCUGGUCACUAAUCACUAAUCUGAUUAAUUAGUGCACCUUAACCUGCUUCGCUGCAUUUCAAACUCAUUUCAGACCAGCGUACACCUCCAUACAGCACGUAACGUUGUAUUACAAAUUGCAAGAUACAAAAAAAAAGCGCUUUGAUAUGAGAAUAUUUUCGGUGACUGAAUAAUCAGUUGCAUUCAGGAUUACCCUAGCACCAUGGCUAUAAUAGUUACUGUAGAGUAGAGCACACCAUAAGAGUUAGAGAUAGGGUUACUAGUAAUCUUUGUCUCUUGAUAUGCCCUGUAUAUUAUAGUGGAGUAUCUGUCAAAUAUGAAUUUAUGCAUGGCGUACUUCAAUGCAGUAGCAAAAGCAUCAGUUCGCGUAAACAAACCAGAUAUGUGAUCUAUGAAAGCCCUAAUAAUGCAUCUUUAAGCCGAUUUAAGAUGCCAUACUGUUCAAGUUCAUGAUUUUCUAAACUUAAAUAGUAUUUUCCAAUUUGGAGCACCAAAAAUGAUUUAUUUGAGAGUAUGUAUAUGUCAGAUCCGCCUAAUUUCCAUGAAAGAUUUCUACUACUUUCCAACACAACAAUGAACCAGGCAAUUAAACUCUAUGGUCCAGUUUGGAUAGUAGAAAGUUCUUGUAUAUCUAUCUCCAAAUGGUCCAAAAGCAAUGCCUCCGUGGUUCUAAUGUAAGGAAUUGAGAUUUAGGUCUUUAUACCAAACUUGAUACACCACUGAAUUUGUAAAAGGUCCACCAUCAUCUUCAUGAUGUACAGUUGUGACUUUUGAGAAACAAUUGCUUCCAGAAGAAAUUUCGGAAAGACAGAGAAACGUCAUGGUGCUUUCUGAUUUAUCUUUUGACUUGAAAGAAACUAUAUUUAAAAAGUUUAAGGAAACAGUUUUUUCGCAGCUCUUUGUAAAAUGGAAAGCAGUUUUAUUAAUCCCAUUCGUUCUUUUCAGCGAAAUCUUUCUUUAAAGAAUCGAUCGAGGAAUAUGUACCCUUCUCAGGUUCUCAUAGACUGGCUUAGAAAUUAUGCAAAUGAGGCCUGCUUCAACAAUCAAUUAAUAAAAAGCUAUUAUGCACAAGAAGAUAGAUUCUUUUUUAGUUGGAUGUGCUGAUGCAAGAUGGAUGACUCACGGGUCAUGAUACAAAAGGUUUUAUGUUAACUUAGCCACUAAUAGCCCUCCAGAAAAGCAUUUCUACAGACAAAGUAGUAUGUAGAAAUACAAAAAGAUAUUCAACAGAAUACAUGUUAAGAAAACCAGGGAAAAAACCAAGUAGAAUACAUGUUAAGAAUACCAGUGAAAGGAUUGAAAUAGACUACGUGUUCAGCAUACCUGCAUAAGGAUUCAAUCAAGAAGAUCUUCCUUUUCAAGUUAUAAAUUCUGUUUCCGCCGUAACCUGCAAAGCUCAUCUGUUGCCAGAAAUUCCUGCCCAAUUCAUCAGUUGGCUAACAUUCCUGUCAUAUCCAUCAGUUGCUUAACAUUUCCUGCUAGAUCUGUCCAUUGCCUAACAGAAUUGCAAGUCCCAGAACGUUUCACUCCCAUUUCCAAAAUAAAUUCAUCAGCUACCUAACAGUCCCGCCAAACUGUUUUAAAACAUUCUAUAGUUUAUAAAAAGUGCCUGAGGAAAACCGAAUAGUCAUGCUUAUACACAUUCAAAAACAAGAAUUCUCUUUCUUUAGAAGUUAGCUACUGUUGGACUUUCUGAAAGUUAACUAGGUUAUGUUAAAAAUUCUUGACCAAAAGAAUGUGAUUGCCAAAAAAAUAGCUUAUGCAAUAUUACGAGCUUGUAUAACUUGAUGUGCCCUAUAUGUAUACAGGAUACUAACAAUCAUGUAAAUCUUACUGUUAGUCUGUUACUAAUUAGAUGCUUGUUUUGAAGCAUCGAUAUUAAUCCUAACAAGAUGCGCUAUGAAAAAAAGAGAAAUCCCAUUAUUAUUACUAAUUAGAGUGUCAUACGUCUAAUGGAGGGCCCAGGAGAGGGGGCCACGACCACCGGAGGGCUGGCUUCCCGCUGUGCCGCCGACAUCUAGAUCUAGGAGGAUAGGAUCAGCUUGCUUGGACGACAAGAUUAUAUUGCUUAGGGGCUAAGUCUCCAGGACUAUAAAUACAUGGGCGAUGUAAACUUUCAAUCUUAAGCACGAGUAUAUCCCCUCCUCUCCUUUCUAAGCCUCAGUCCUCUUCCCUGCGCCUCCCUCUCUCCCCUGUGCCGACGCCUCUAGACCCCUAAAGCCUAGCCGCUGCCACACCUUGGGCCCCCCUCCCCACCGGGUCUCUGUUACUAAUUAGAUCUUGCUCAUUUCGAAGCAUCGCUAUUAAUCCUAACAAGUUGCGCUAUAAAAAAAGAGAAAUCCCAUUAUUAUUACUAAUUAGAGUCUCCUUUUGGUGCUUUAAUGUCAGUCCUCAUGGCACACACUAUAAAAGAUAUAGGCCUUGGAAAUUCUUAUAAAAAACAGAAAACAUCCGGUUAUCGAUUCAAUUAGAGGCUCUCUUUGAAGUUUCCACAUUAAUAAUCAUCAGACGUGCUAGAAAAAAAAUGAUAACCUUUCUUAAAAAUAAGAAAAUAUCUACACACUAAAGUAAACUCAAUCAUGACUAACAAGUAACAAUAACAGCCAAUGGAUCUAUUCUGGUUUCUAAAAAAACACCUCUGCCACUAUGAAAUAGUCCAAACCCUAUAUCUAUAUCUAAAUUACAGAAUUACCCACAUUUAUCAGAAUGAAAAAUAACAAAUAACCACAUUUGCAUCUAAAUUACCCACCUAUGCCAUUAUAAAAAUAAAUUAAAGUAACAUCCUAAAUUGCAUAUAAAUCACCCACCUUCUACUUCUGCAGAGAUAUCCGACAAAUUACCCAACUCCACUACUGUUAGAGUAACAUAAUGCAACCCCUAAAUAUGCAUCUAAAUUACUUUCAUUACAUCUGCCAGUAUAUAUAAGUAAAGUAUCCAAAAGUACUCCUAUAUAUGAUUCUAAACUACCCCAAUUUUUACCUUGUUAAUGUAGAAAAAAAAAACUAACGUGUAUACGAAUGCAGUAAGUGAUGACUAUACGAUUUCCAUGCCAAAUACAAAGCUCAAGCUACGUUUCAACUAAACACAUCUGAAAUGCACAUGGAAGUGUGAUACUAAGGUGGAAAACUAUGAAUAAGGAAGGAAAUGUAGAUAAAGUAAUAGGUAACUAGAGCUCAUCACAUACUAAUAAAGAUAAGAAAAGGUAUAGAUGAGUAUUGUCUCAGAGUAUAAAUCGAUGAGUGGCUGAAGAUAAGCUAUUUUGAUUAGCUAAGGCCCUUAAAUGUGUCCAUGAAUAUCUUAUAACAAUUAUUGCCCCCAAGGAAAGGGCAACUGAAAUAACACUAUGCCAUCAAUUUUGAGUUAUUUUUAAUAGGUUCUAAAGAAGCUCGGACCUUGGGGAACAGACUACCCGAGUAUUAAGCAAAGAAUAUGUUUUCUCGCUGCAAGACCAAGAAAAACACACCAAAUGUCCCCACUCACAGAGGGCAUUUGUUUAGGAUCAGCCAGGGCGCACCUGCAAGCCAUGUAUAUCUCUGCAACUGCAUCAAUGGAACAACAGGGGGCGGUGGUGUUUCUUAAACCCAGCCUCGAAAAUCUGCUCCCACAGGGAGUUGAACUCACUGGUGCUACUAAGGCCGUGCAACCACUAUGCUGUAUGCCUGUUCGCCUUUUUUCUAUCAGGUCCGUUCACUUUCUAUGAUGUUCUCUUAGCAUCCUAAAAAUCAGAGUACUCGUGCAUUUGAGCAUUCAAGUGGCUACAUCAGAACAACCAUAGAAAUUCCUAAUCUUUGGUAAAAGCAGUCUACCAACGGCGUUUAAGAAUCACAUUUACUUUUGAAAGGGAGCAGACAAUUAAAGUUCACCUGAAUCACAUUUACUUUUGAAAGGGAGCAAACUAUUAAAGUUCAGCUGGUCUCUUGUGAAGAAAAAGACAACCAAAAUAGUAUUACCCAGUUCUACAUGUCUUAAAAUCAAAAGAACAUACAUUGAACUUAAAAGAUCCAUUUGUCUAUUGUUGGUAAACAUAAGCUACCUAAUAAAGACUAAAGUCAUCAGGUCAUGUCAAUCUGUCAUGCUAUGUGUGCUUGGCUCCAAAACCUCAAAUGUUCAUACUAGGACCCCUGAACUCUACUGUACAACUAUGUUUACUAGCAUAUCAUUAUCUUGAGUUCGAAAAUGGAUGUAGUAGGUGAGAUUUGACAAUCCACAUAAUGGGUUAUUAUGGCCUUAUUAUGGGUGACAGGGUAAAGAGUGGGUCACCGAACAGCUCAUUGCCGUAUCUGAGAAGGUCCGUAGAGUGGGAGAAAGAGAGGCCGGAAUAGCCAUAGGAAUCGAGACCUGAACAUUUUUUUUAGUUUUUUCUAGGUGCGAGGGAAGUCCCCACACGGGGCAUGUGCAUCGAUUCUGGGGCAAUCGUUUGAAAUGAAGCAGCCUAGUCUGUUCCCACGGAUCUGGAUCUGAACUGCCUGUUCUUUCUACUUCAGGUUAAUCCGUUCCCCCGGAUCUGGAUUGAUCUGCCUGUUCUUUCUACUUCAGGGUUACCAUUAAUCAUCCGAUUUAGAUACUAAUCAACAUGAUGUUCGAAAACUUGUUCCGAAAGGCAGAGAAAAGACCUGAAAAGUGUUGGAGGGGGUCUUUUACCUCUUGAUAUGGAUGAUCUGAUCCGUCGUUCGCACGGGUGAAAUCCCAAGAACGCUUCCUGAAGGUCGGUUCCGUCGUGAGAAUCCCAAGCACACGACGAGCUGCGCCUGCGCCUCCCAGACCGCCGUCGGCUCCACCGACACCGGGCGCCGCCGGCGACGCUUCCGAGAAUCUUCGACGCCUUUCUGCUAUCCAACUGCUGGCAAGUCUUAUACAAGUACAGUAUGACAGGACAGAAGUCCAUACGUCUCCGUGCCGAUCCGGAAGCCCUUCCAUCUAGCGAGUGGGAGCUUUCCCGGAAGCUGCGGCCGCCCGUGCGGCGGCUUGCUGACUGGGCGCGAAGGUUCACGGAAGUUGCCGCGGCCGGCGAGGGAAGCCAACCCGGGGCGUCGGAAGAACAUUUGGUCGGCGAGGCCGCGGUUCGGUUCGACUGAUACCCAUAUCCGGCCAUCCGUCCCCGCGACCGCAACGCGGCCGCCAAGAGUCGGCAGGCCUUGUUUGCUUACCCAAAAAAAUUGUAAAAAAAUUCAGAUUUCCCUUCUAAUCGAAUCUUACUGCGGAUGUAUAAAGUAUUGAAUAUAAAUAAAAAUAAUAACUAAUUAUAUAAAAAUUCUUUUAAAUUUAGUUAGUUAAUAAUUAAAUAAUAUUUAUCAAAUACAAACAAAAGUGUUACCGUGUUUAUUUUGUAAAAAAAUUUUAGAACUAAACAAGGAGUCCAAAGUCACAGCCUCGUUGGGAUCGCGAAAAGGAAAAUUCUUCACUGUAGCACGUAACUACAUAGCAAUUAGUAUUUAAUUAUAAAUUAAUUAGAUUUAAAAAAUUUAUCUCGUAAAAUACAUGUAAAUUGUAUAAUUAAUUAUUUUUAAUCUAUAUUUAAUGUUACAUGCAUAUGUCUAAAUAUUUGAUGUGAUGAGAUAAAAAAUUUAGGUGAGAACUAAACAGGGCCAAUAGCAGAAGCCAGGGACACAAAAUUUAGAUCUUGUUUAGUUCGCAAAAGUUUUGGCUUUGGCCACUAUAGCAUUUUCGUUUGUAUUUGACAGAUAUUGUCCAAUCAUAUACUAACUAGUAUCAAAAGAUUUGUAUCGCAAAUUACAAUAUUUUCAUAUAUAUUUAAUGCUCUAUGUAUACAUCUAAAAAUUCGAUGUGACAGGGAAUCUCGAAAAUUUUUGCAAACUAAACCAGGCCUUACAUCAAAAGUGAGCAAGAGUAAUACAAUGUUUGGCAAGGUUUUUGUUCUCUAUAUACUUGCUAAUCAAAAGCUCUGUUAAACGUGCAUACUACAUAUGAAAACAGCUUAUGAGAUCAAAACAAAAAAAACGAGACUACAAAAACAUACCUUUCCUAAAUUGUACCAUUUUUGUAGAAGCUAAAAACCUGUCAAAAUGAAACUUACCAAACAACACAGUUCGGAGAAGAUACUGACUCCCAAGUCCCAACGAAGCACAUACAACUACACAAGCGCAACUCUCAAAAACGGCCUCCUGAAAACUUUUAGGCCUUGUUUAGUUCCUGAAUGAAAAAGUUUCGUGACACUGUAGCACUUUCGUUUGUUUGUGGUAAUUAUUGUCCAAUCAUAGAUUAACCAGGCUCAAAAGAUUCGUCUCGUCAAUUUCGACCAAACUGUGCAAUUAGUUUUUAUUUUUAUCUAUAUUUAAUACUCCAUGCAUAUGUUUAAAGAUUCGAUAUGACGGGGAAUCUUGAAAUUUUUUGGGAUUUUGGGUGGAAGUAAACAAGGCCUAACAAAGAAAACCCAAAAUACCAAAACCCUAAACAGCCCAAAAAACCUGACACUAAUUUUUUUUUAGUUUUGGUGUUUAAUUCCAAAACAUUUUGCAAAAUAGAACACAAACGGUCCAUAUUAAGGACAUGUUUGGAAGUUCUGUGAAUCUUUUCACCUGUAAAUGGCUUCCGGUUGUAUUUUUUUGUGCACAAGAAAUCCCUUGUAAAACUUUUCCCAUGUAAAUUUGCGUUUGGUCUAGAUGAAUUACUCAACUCUGACCGUGGCCACGCUCAAGCCUGAACACCAAGCUCCAGCCGGCGCCUAGGCUAUGCACAGCCCAUGAACUCUGCCCAAGUGCCCAGGCAUGACGGACACCAGCAGCAUGCACCAUCGCUCUGCCAUUCGCCGCUCCCUCGUCGUUGUUGAGCCGCCGCAACAUCAGAAUCAGAAGAAAAAAGGAGACGGGACCAUGAGUUUCCGCCGGCGGUUCGUGUACCUGGUGAUGAACGACACCAAAAGACGGGACUUUCCUCUGAGCCGUAUGGACGAGGCACGCUUCUUCUUCCGCGAGGACGAGAGGCCCCAGACCCCGCCGCCGGAGGACACGCACCUUCCGCCUCCCUCCAUCAACCACCACUGGCACCAGCAACGGCGCCAUGGACAGAAAAGGCGCGAAAGACGCUGGCAGUUUAUGCAUGGACAAUGGCAGACCCAGAUAUGUUCUGUGGCCUUGUGGGAACCCUUCUCUGGGGCAUCCAAGAACAAGAACUGCCAGAAGCUCAAGUGAAUAUCGACCAUGCCACAUUUACUUCCAUAAUUUGAAAUAGAGCAUGUAUCUAAACUAGUAGAAUUCUAUCAUUCAUUCAGAUGGAAGAUCGAUAUGCCACCAGAAAAAGCACCGGAGCCAGACGGAUUUAUCGGCACCUUCUAUAAAACUGCACUGCUGGGAGAUCAUCAAAUUGGACUUGAUCCAUGCCGUUGCCAGAUUCUACAGUCACAGGACACACAAGCUGGACCUUAUCAAUGAAGCACACAUUGUCCUUUUGCCCAAAGAACAAGACGCCACAACAUUAGCAGAAUAUAGGCCAAUUAGCUUGAUCAACAGCUUUGUCAAAAUCAUCACGAAAAAGCUGCAUUCACGAUAACUUCCUAUACGUGCAGAGAGUAAUUCAGCUCCUACACAAAAAGAAACAGCCAGCUCUAUUUUACUAACUCAAGACAUUUCGAAGGAAUUUGAUUCUAUUGGUUUGAGUUUCUUGUUGGAAGUCCUCACGGUGUUGGGAUUUAGCACAAAAUGGAGAUAUUGGAUAGCCUCCCUCCUAGCCACUUCAACAUUGGUAAUCAUGACAGAUGAAGAGCUAUGAUAGACCAUGCGGUUGGCAGCCUUCUUAGGAGUGAGGUUGUGCAUCGAUACCAAGUCAAGGGGGCAUGGAGGUCGAUGUCACCCAUCUAAGGCAGACCAACAUGGUGUAGUUGGUGUGGACAUUGGUGAUCGCAUGGAGCAAUAUCUAUGACACUUCAGUAUGCAGACGACACCCUCAUUGUUAUGAGACGAGAACCACAGGAUGUCAUCCACCUAAAAGAGACCCUGAAAAUAUUCUCCGACGCUACGGGACUCAGCAUCAACUACCAUAAAAGCACCAUAGUUCCUCUGAACAUAAACCCGGCAGCUCUGCAAAUCUGUGUCCAACAACUGGAAUGUCGUGUAGAAUCCUUCCCAUAGAACUACUUGGGUCUUCCUCUUUUGGCUUCCAAGCUACCGGUUGCGGCAUUCAAUCCAUACAUUGCUAGAACGGAUGCCUUCCUGUCCUCCUGGCAGGCUUCACUGCUGAAUAAAAUGGGAAGAGUGGUUAUGAUCAACUCGGUGCUCGAUAGUCAGCUUGUUUACGCCAUGUCCGCCCUCUGUGUUCCACCAACCACAAUAGCAGAGAUUGACAGAAGACGUCGAGCCUUUCUAUGGGCUGGCGAAGCAAACACUUCCUCGGCUAAAUGUCUGGUGGCCUGGGGAAAGUGUUGUACCACCAAAGUCUUGGUGGUCUGGGAAUCAAGGACUUCGCCAUUCAUAACAUCUGCCUCCUUCUAAAGCUCAUUCACAAGCUACAUUUCUCACUGAACUCUACAAGGGGGGCUUGGGUGCGGGAGAAUUCCAGUUUGGCAACCUUACAAGGAGAUCUACAGGGGAAUCACUGGGAGACUCUACGCUCGAUUUUGCCAUUAUACCAAGCGAUUACCACGGUCUAGAUUAAGGAUGGGGUAGCCACAUCUUUCUAGAACGACAUCUGGUAUAUGGAUGAAGCCUUAGCUGACAAACUUCCAGCGCUUUACAACCAUUGAGGGAUGCCUCCGUCAGAGAUGUGAUCCUCUCUCAACUCAAUGAUGCUUUUGUUCCAAGACUGACCCCUCAAGCUUUAGCACAAUUGCGACAGCUGCAACAAAUAGUGGCUCAGGCCUCUCUGGACACAGGAAAUGACAUAAGAAAAUCUCAUUUCGACUGUGGCAAUGGAAGAUUAGACUCAACUUCGAUCUACAAGCUACUCAAGGCCAAGCAAAACCCAUCUGAUCCCAUGUCAGACUUCAUCUGGGGGAACUGCUCUCCUCCAAGAGUUCAAUUCUUCAUGUGGCUCGCCUCAAAGGGAAGAUUACAAUGCCGUGCAAACCUAUUCAAGAAAAGAAUUGUAACAACCCAAGCCUGUGAAGUUUGCCAAGGGAUGGAAGAAACGACGGCUUUUGCAAGAGGUUUCUGGAAUGCCUUGGGGCUCAUAAUUGACGACGGCCUAACUGUUCAUCGCUUACAGUCUAUGGCGAGGAUCCAAAACAUCCCGGCCAAGCAGUUUAGUAGCUUCCUAGCCUUGUGCUGCUGGCAACUAUGGAAGCGGCGAAAUGCUCUUAUCUUCCGUAAUGAAAAUCUUUCGCUUCGCCAAGUGCUGCACGCCUGUGCCUUGGAUGCAGCUGCUUGGCGUCCUAGAUUCAAGAAGAAGGAGAAGGAGAUCAACACUGCCUGGUGUACUUACCUCCAUUCAAUUCUAAACCAGAUUCCCUAGUCCAGUCUGUAAAUUCCCUGUAAAGUCUUUUCUUUUUCUUUAAUCAUAUAAAGAAAAACAACUCUCUGUAAUCCUUUGUGACCAUGGGUCACCCGUCAAUAAAGCCAGGUGGGAGAAUCCCCCCGUUGAAUGCUCAAAAAAAUAUCUAUGGUUAUGUAGUGUCAGGGUCAUUAGAGGUGACAUCAUUGUCAUCAUCCACCUCUGCCAGAUCCAACAAGAACAAGCGCUGGAACACUCGGUUGUGACCACGCCCGAACUUUUGGUUGCAAUUGAAGCAAAGGCUAAGCUAGUGGCAUUCUUCCAUCUCGAACAUCAACAUACACUUGAUGGGGCAUCCCUCCACCAUGGUGGUGGCCGCUGCAGUCACAACAGGUGGUAGGGCAGUAGAGUGAGAUGUGGUGGAGGCGGCACAAUAGUGGCGACACUAGUCGCGUAGCUCCAGGUUCCGGGUGAGGUUCAUGGUGAAGUGAGAAACUGUGGGUUGUGGACCUCCAUGUAAAGGAUUAUCAACAGUUGCAAUCCUGCCAGUAAGAUCUCCACCUGUUGUGCCUCAAUGAGGGUUGCCCGCGUGAGGAAGGAGGGCCUCAAAAGUAGUUAUGAUAGUUGGUGAAGGAGCCUGUGCACUUGCAAGCCAUAUAAGCUCGCUAAGGGGGGGUUGGAGCGUAGGGGCGUGGCCCAAACCAGAGAUGCAGCAACUCGAUGAAGCAACGUCAUGGCGGUGUGCCCUCGUCCGUAGAUGUACCACAUUUGGGCGCCGACUUCAAGGUUGUAGCGGGCCAUCUACACCUUCUCCAUGAUACACUCCUGAUGAAAAAUAAGACUCACAAUGAUUGAUGAACACCAGCGGAUCAUACUUAUCAUCAUAUUUGGGGAAGUCCAUCUUCUGGAGAUGCAGGGUUGGUCGUUGUGGUGCGCACCGGAGGCCGAAGCCUUAGCAUUGGACAAGGAUGUCGCAAGGGGGUGAUCCUACUAGAGAAGUCGAACUUGGCUUGCAGGUUGUCGAUGGUCACCACCAAUGACUUGAUGAGAGAAGCAAUAUCUGCUAUGGCUGGCUUGCCCAUCGUGGAGGUCACUGAGGCAGUGGAAGACGGUGGCGAGUUGGGUACAACAGGUGGAGUAGUGGUGAAAGAUGAAUGUCUGGAACCCGAUACCAAGUUGUCAAGGGCGUUGGUUCCCAAGGUACCUAGUCUACAGAUACGGAGUUCAUAGCGUUGACCGGUAAUACGGAUACGGAGUUCAUAGCGUGGACCGAUAAUGGCCUAGGGAUUCUUCUUUGAGCACCCAAUGUUGGAGGUGAGAUUAAGAGAAAUGAGGGAGACUAGAGAAAUUGGUUUGUUAUUGCAAUAUUGCUUGAUCUAAAUGAGGGCUGAGUACAUGGAAUAUAUAGGCACUUGGCCUGCUAAAUAGAAGGAAAUAAACUCCAUAAAUCCUCUAAUUCUUGCCCUAUUUGAUCUUCUUAACUCUUGGUCUCUUGCCUUCAUGCCAAUCCGUGGAAUAGUGUUGCUGCUGGCGCCAUUCAUGCUGAUCCCUGCAAGGGUUGCUAUUGCUGAGUAUAAUGGUGGCCCCUACUUAAGUCUUGUCUAGCUAGCAUACCAAUCUAUCUUCUUUUUGUUAUUAAGUUUCCUAGAUGGGCUAUUGACAUGAUUAAUUCCCAUAUGCGACAUUUUCUUUGGAACAACACUGAGGAAAAACAUAAGUAUCAUCUUGCAAACUAGUAGCUGGUGUCCCAGGAAAAAGAUCUGGGGGGUUUACGCAUACCUGAUUUGAGAAGUUUGAAUUUGGCUUUGCUAAGUUCCUGGAUUUUUAGGUACCAUCUGAAUAAUGAAUCUAUUUGGACAAAAAUUGUUGAUUUCAAAUAUAAAACUAAAAAACCAAAUAUUUUUUGCUGCUCUGAGGUAGGAACUUCACCUUUUUGGAAAGGUGUCAUUUGGGCUAUGCAGGCAGCACAUAUGGGUGUGAGAUGGGUGAUUGGGAAUGGAGGUAAAAUUCAAUUUUAGGAAGAUCAGUGGCUUGGUAAUACUUGCCUUGCUAUCCUUUUCUGGCCUCUAUAUGUUAUUCAACAUGGAAAAAGUGAUAGGGAAGUUUGGAAUGGUGAAGAGUUGCAACUCUCCUUUAGGAGAGGUGUCUCUGAGAGAAUCAUGGGUAGGUGGGAAGAAUUAAAAGCAGCUGUGCAGAGUAUUGCACUCAAUAAUGAGGAGGAUCGGAUCCUUUGGACUUAUAGCUCCUCUGGAAAGUAUUCUGUACAAUCCUUAUAUGCUAUAGUUAAUCAUAGGGGUGUGAUACCGAUCUUUGUACAUGUUGUUUGGAAGCUGAAUAUUCCUCCGCGAGUAUAGUUCUUUCAGUGCUGUGUUGCAAGUAAUGUCUGGAUAUGUAUUUCUGGUUGGUUGAACAAAGUAGUGGGGGCUGAUUUUGAAUCUGUGGCGUCUUUGUGGAUAGCCAAUAAAAAGUAUAUGGUGUGCAAUAUUGUUACUUCAGCAGUCAUCUGGGUAAUUUAGAAAUUGCGUAAUUCAUUGUGUUUUCAGGGAGUACCAUGGAGUGGAAUGAAAAAGAUGUUUGUUAUGUUGGGAAGGUUGCUGAAAAACUGGUUGUCGUUGUUCAAACUGGAGCUUCAGGAAAAGGUAGAGCGGGUGAUCUGUCUGGUGGAGAACGAAGCAAGCUGAGCCCCGCGGAUCAAGUGGACUGUGGAUUCAUCAGGAUUGGAUCAAUCAAUUGCUCAGCCUUUGGUGGUCUCAAGAGAUGUGUCAACUCUACAAUGUAAUAGAAAUUAGAGUGUGGUUGAGAGUGUUUUGUUUUUUGGCGGCCGCUCUUGGAUUGCUUUGUGCUCCUUGAGUAGGGUUCUGGAGUUUUUGGAACUGCUUUUGAGCUGUUGAAUGCUAUAAACUUGUUAGCUUUAUAAUAAUAAAGCUGGGGAGACCUUUUAUUUAAAAAAAUAAUGGUGGCCCCACAUGACAAGAGCUCACGUUCUUUACGAAUUAUGCCGGUAAAGUUUUCUUUGCCCUUGAGGGCAUAUGCCCUCACUCUCCUACUCAUUGGAUUCGCUUUGAGAAGUGUGCAAACACACAUCUCAAUGCGGAACUGCUUUGAGAUGUGUGUUUGCACACUUCUCAAAGCGAAUCCAAUGGAUGGGAAAGUGAGGGCAUAUGUCCUUAAGGGUAAAAAAACUGCGUCCGAAUUAUGCUCGAUGUUUUACUGUUGAUAGGAAUGUCAUUUGGUACCUUCAGAAGCUCGAGUGAAUAUCGAGCAUACCACAUCUUCCAUAAUUUGGACUAAGGCCUUGUUUAGUUCACCUCAAAAACUAAAAAGUUUUUAAGAUUUUCCGUCACAUCGAAUCUUGCGGCACAUGCAUGAAACACUAAAUAUAAACGAAAAUAAAAACUAAUUGAACAGUUUGUUUGUAAAUCGCGAGACGAAUCUUUUGAUCCUAAUUAGUACAUGAUUAGACAAUAUUUGCCAUAAACAAACGAAAAUGCUACAGUGCUAAAAUCCAAAAACUUUUCACAACUAAACAAGGCCUAAAUAUGUAUCGAAAUUAGAAUUCUAUCGUAUUCAGAUGCAACUGCCACUACUGAAGCAAAACUUAACCAUGGUGAACAUUUUAUAUUUACAUGACAGUUUUUAUAACCACCACAGCUAUAGGAUCAUGGUUAAUCUUAAUUUAACCGAGGCAGUUCUGAGUUACAUCGGUUAAUCGGUGGGUGAUGUAAUGCCUGCCUCAGUUAAUGUUCGCGAAAAAACCCAAACAACUAAAAACUUGAGACUCUAAAGAGUCAAACCUAGGACCUCUUGCUCAACACUAUAACCCUCUACUGCUACCCUACACAAUUAUUUGUGCAUACAUAUAAUACGCUAUCUUUUUAUAUCAAUAUUUCGUAAUCUUACAUUGGGUAUUUCGGCUACUAAAUAAAUUCAAAUGAAAAAACUUUUAACUACAAAGUCUUAAAUCUUGUCGAGUACUACAACUUGGUAUAUAUAAUUUGUCGAGUACUACAACUUGGUAUAUAUAAUCUAUCGCAGUUGUAUAUAUAAUCUAUCGCCAUCAGAGAUAGUUUGAAUUUUUUUUAAAAAAAUUAAGCCUUAAAAUAUGUGAAUUUCAAACACAUAUUUGGAACUCUAGGUGACUUUAAAUCAAAAACUUGUCAAUAUCAAACAUGUGAACAUUGGAGAUCAUUUAGGAAUUCAAAAUUUUAAAUUUCAAAAUCUAUAACCUUUGAACACAUGUUUGAGCCUCUAAACAUAUUCAAAUUUAAAACUUUUCAAUUACAAAGUUGUAGAUUCUAUCAAAAACUAUAACUUCUGUAUAGACAAUGUGAAUAUCUAAGAUUGUUUGAUAAUUUUAAAUUUUAAAUUUCAAAAUCUGGACACUAAAAAUAAUAAUUUUUGGACUCUAAACAGUUUUAAUUCAUAAUUUUUUUUCAACUAUAAAGUUGUAGAUCUCAUUGAGAGCUACAAUUUUGAUAUAAAGUUUGUCUUCAUCUGAAUUCAUAUGAAAAAGUUAUAAAUUAUUUUUUUUGGUAACCAUUAACCGAGGCGAGCAUUGUGACGUAACCGCCAUGAUUAAUGAGUUAUUAACAGUGGCAAGCAUUAUAAGUAAUCGCCACGAUUAAUAAUGUUAACCGUGGAGGUUAUCUUACAAUACUUGCUACGGUUAGUUAUUUGUCCGGUGGGCUGGCAAGCUUCAGCCCUGAAUAACCAUAGUGGGCAAAAGUAACGCCUGCCUCGAAGUCCUUAUGUAAAACGCUACGCAAAAUGAAACGUUCUUGGCAGGGUAACGCAUGGACACAGCACAACAGUGAGGUGACGAUUCGUUUAUGUUUACAAACAUUUGUAUUCACUCAUGCACACAGCGUUAAAAUCAUGCAGUUCUGAUUCCCUUUUACAGCCUAUUUUUUUUUCAUAUAGCAAACUUAUUUGAAAUUGGAAUUUUGUAUUCCCACGGAAAUGAGCGGGGAACCACCUAGUUACUGUUACAUCCUGAACAACCCGCCAUCUCUCGAUAAAGUACACCCUAUAUCUCAAUUGCAGUGGAGACGCGAGAUAUCCAAUCAACUGCGCGGAUCCUGCCUAAGCGGCAUGAAGAUUAGUUCCUGGCGCUGCUGCUUCGACCUGCAAAUAAUCAGUGGUUCCAAUUAAUUAAUAAAUUACAGUAAAAUACCAUGACUUGAGCUCAAGAAUCAAGACACAUACCAGCUACGUCGGUGAAGCAGGUACGCGCAGCAGCCUCCGACCCCGAGAGCAGCCGCGCCCACGGCCGCCAGAAGCAUCGGCACCGACGUCGAGGACGCCGCGGUUCGCGCCAACCUGGAUACCUGAAGGACCCCAGACGACAGGAAGACGAGCCAGAGGACGGCGUCCAGCUGCCACCGUCUUCCUCCGUCGUCGUUUCUUCUCUGCUCCCAGCAUCCGGAGAGCCUGCAGAGCAGGAGGCCGACGCCGACGUAGGUCACCUGGACGGAGGCCACGGACACCAAGUCGCCCCACAAGAGGUACAUCAACAGGCCGGAGUAAGCGGUAAGCAGCACGAACAAAACGAGACGCCCCUUUCGGAGCUCUUUCGUCUCUCGGUGCUCACCCGUGGUCGUCUGCUUUGCCGAGGGAAGGGACAGAGUAGCCAUUGCUGUGCUGUGGGUAGAGAAGGCAACAGGUGCAAGCGGUGGUGCUCAGGAGCUAAGAGGCCCUCUGUUUCCUUGAGAGGUUAAGAGGCCCUCUCGAGUCAUGAGCAAAGAAAGCAGGCUACAAAUUUUCAAGAUUGCCGUCAUAUCGAAUCUUACGACAUAUGCAUGGAGCAUUAAAUAUAGACGAAAACAAAAACUAAUUAUACAAUUUAUCUGUAAUUUACGAGAUGAAUAUUUUAAGCUUAGUUAGUUCAUGAUUGACAAUAUUUAUCAAAUAUAAACGAAAUUGCUAUAGUACUCGAAACCAAAAAUGUUUACCAACUGAACAAGGCCUAAGGGCACUCCCAAUAUAGAAAUCAUCGUGCUUUCUAUAGACAUUAAUUAUAAUGCCACCUAAACAUUUUGCUGAUGUGGCAAGAGAGUUAUUGAAGAAAGAGAGAGCAAAAAUCAUAGAAACUAGAUCUAAGUUAGAAACCAUGUCUACACAAAAUUCAAGAUAUGAAGUGAUAUGAUUGGUUAAGAAUGGAGAGAGAGUGAAUGUCAUUGGGUAAAAAAUAUUAUAUAGAAACUAUCCAUUGACACCAUAGUUUCUAUAUAUAGUGUCUAUAAAAAUUAAUACGUAUAGAAAUUACAUGUAGUUUUCAGCAUUGGGAGUGCCUAAAGAGGGCGAGGAGUUCCCUAGCUCAGCUCACUGAGUUGUCCCCCCCGUCCGGUUGCAGUUGCACCUGUGUUCAUCUGUCAGAGAUGGGACCCACUCAGGAUUAGUACUUUUUCACGCUGACGUGUGAAUUAUGGCCUUGUUUAGAUGGAUUUCAUUACUGUAGCACUUUCGUUUGUUUGUGGCAAAUAUUGUCUAAUUAUAGACUAAUUAGGAUCAAAAGAUUUGUCCUGUGAUUUACAAGUAAACUGUGUAAUUAGUUUUUAUUUUCGUCUAUAUUUAAUGCUACAUGCAUGUGCCGAAAGACUCGAUGUGACGAGAAAUCUUGAAAAUUUUUUGGUUUUUGGGGUGAACUUAACAAGGCCUAUGUCUUCCUAUCAACUUCAAUGUUUCCGCAACUUGCGAUGGUAGCCAAAGUCUGUAACAAUGUCAUCAUUUUUGGCACUAACGAACCUAGCUAGCGCUUGCCAAUUUCAUGUUUAUAUUUUACCACAUGUACCGACGCUGGAUCCUUACUCGCGAAGCAGCCAAGGAGGCGCUGACGGCGAGGGCAAUUCCGCAACUUGGGAUAGAUGGUGGCCAAAGUCUGUAACAAUGACAUUAUUUUUUGCAUUAACAAACCUAGCAAGCGCUUGUCAAUUUCGUGUUUAUAUUUUACCACAUGCAUAGGCGGAGCUAGCUAAGUGGACAGAUGGUCCUUGGACCAUCCUAAAAAUUAGUUUUAAAGUUAAACUAUAGUAGAUGAGCUCUCUAAAAUCAUAAAAAUUAUACAUAGAUCACUUUAUAGUUUGGUUUUACAUCUAAAAUAGAUCACCCUUGCUCUAGAUCCUAGCUACGCUACUGACCACAUGUACCGAUGCUGGAUCCUUACUCGCGAAGCAGCCAAGGAGGCGCUGACAGCGAGAGCAAAAAUCAAAGGUGCAAUUGCAGCGGACGAGGAAACUUAGGAGGUGUUUGGAACUUAGUCCAUGUUUUAGAUGCUAAUUAAAUAGAAGACUUACAUAUGAACUAAUUAUGAUCUAACAAGAACUAAUAGAGGCUAAUUAAUGAGUAGAAUUCAUCUGUUUGGAACAGAUGAGUGCAAAACAGAAAAAGGAAUAAAAACAUUAAAAUAGGAUAUGUUGGUAGAAUACGGAGGAGAUUGAAAGACAAAAAAUUUAUAAGAAUCAGUGUUUGGAACACAGGAAUGUUAAAUAUGUUUAUUCCUCCAUUCUAGUGAGCAAGGACAUAUUGCUUGUUUCACAUGUAGGAAAAUUUUCCAAGAGCUUGGAGUGGAUAUUUUAUUCCCUCCAUUACAUGAAGGAAAGCAAAUCUUUCUAUAGAAAAGAAAAAUUUCAUUCCUCUGUUCUAAACACUAUGUGAGAAUUGGAUUCUUUCGAAAUUAUUAUAUGAAGAUCCUUCAAUCCAAGCAGGCCUCGAAAGAGUGUUCAUUUCUUCUAUUGAUGAGUGCCAUCCACCACCCGGCGUUCAAUCAAAGCUUGUUUGCGAGUGUAUAUAAAAAUUCACUUGUCAAAUCUUGAGUUAUAGCAAGUUGCUAAUUUGUUUAGCAAAAGAAAAAAAGAUGUGUCUCCAAUAAGUUGCUAUUCUCACUUGGUAAAAAUAGAGGAUGACAGAUGGGACCCGCUCACUUGGUAAAAGAAUAUGUGUCUCCAACAAGUUGCGCUCGGGAUAGCAACUUGGGAUAGCAACUUGACAAAUCUCGGCAGUAGAAACCUCUGGAUAGCAACUUGGGAAAUUUAGCAAGUUGAGAUAAGGAGUUGUUGGAGGAGGAUUUUUAUGCUUUUAGCAAAUUUGGUAGGAUAGCAUGUUGAAAUACCAAGUUGUUGGAGAUGCUCUAAAUUUGUUUAUUAUAGUCUCUUGUGUGCUAAUCUAGGAAGUAGGAUAAUUUCUAUGGCUAUUAGUUAGGGUGUCAACUAAGCAAAAUAAUGGUCCGACAUUGGAAUCAAACAAGAGAGACAAUAAAAAAAUUUGUAUAUAAUAAGAGAUGUAAUAGAUAGAUGAUAGAAUAGAGAUGAUACAUGAUUGGACAAAAAUCUAUUUUGAAGACACAAUAUAUUGAAAAUGUAUUUUCUUUAUGUAGCGUCUCAUAGUGGCCUAUAGCGAAAGGGCAUACGGUGUAAUGGUUACAAGAGGUUCAGUAGCACCUCAAGUCCUGGGUUCAACUCUCUGGGAGUGAAUAUUCUAAGAUUAACGUCGUUGUGUUUUCAGUGGUAGACGACAUUCCCGUCAACAACGUCACACCUAUAGUGACUUCAUCAAUCUCGAAGAUUUGUCAGUCCGGUCUUUGAAGAUGUUUGUGAGUGUAUGAACAAAGAUACUCCUUCCCUUCCAAAUUAUAAGUUAAUUCUAGCUUUUCUAAAUAUGUAGUUUUUCUGUGUACCUAGAUAUACCCUAUCUAGAUGCAUAAUUUCUAAGUGUAAGAUAAAAUGUACUCAUCCAUUUCAAAUUAUAAGUCGUUUUGAUUUUUUUGGUAUAUUAAUUUUGCUAUAUAUCUAGAUACAAUAUAUGUAUAGGUACAUAACAAAACUUAGAACGGACGAGUAUCUAAAAGAGCUCAAUCGACUCCAAAUUAGAGGGGAUACAUUUUUCUCCCUCUAUCUUAAGAUGCCAUAAGAAAAUCAUAUACACAAAGAAAACCUUCUCUCUGCGAAAGGCCCUCUAGCCUAGUGGUUAGAACACCUGAGUAGCACUAGCAGAUCUGGGUUCAACUCCCGUGGGAGCGAAUUUAAACAUGUCUGCAUUAUAAAAAAAAUGAAAAACAUAGACUGAGGUUUCCCUUACUGACUUCGGUCAAAAAAAAAAGAAAACCUUCUCUCGAGGUUGUUCCUUUUUUGCGCAGCCAUUAGAAAUGGUCGAAGCUAUAAGGUAUAUACUUUGCAAUUGGCAUACAAGACACAUGAAUCAAAAUGGAAAGACCUUGACGUACUCGUAAGUGAUUAGAGUAGUGUGUCAUCGACAAAUAAAAGAUAUGGGAGGUGGCGGAUGAACAGGAAUAUCGGACAUAUCGAAUUAUAUUGGUGGACAUUUGUUUUUGCCAAAAUUCAUGAAGGAACUCUCAGUUUGUAUAGAAAAUCACAGAUUCUUUCCAAACCAUUUAACACCAAAAACUGCACAUAAUAAUUAAUAAAUGAGAGAUAUAUAUAUCACACUCUUACAGCUCAUAUUUGGCACAUCACAUUUGAUUUGUUUAAUACAUGUGUCCGGCAGUUCUCUUGUAUGAGGCUUUUCAACGUCUCAUUUGAUUACAUGCAUGAUACCUUUUUGGUUCGAAAAGAAAAAAAAAAUCUACCUUUCUCUAGAGUAUGAAGAUCGAAUAUAGGUCCCGUACGAUCUAAUACGCCGGCCUAUUCGUCCUCGUAGAUGAAGAAGGCAUAAAAGCCGAACGCCGUGGCACUGGCCAUCGCCCACACGAGCACCGCCACCGGGAAUGGCAUGACUGCGACCACCUUGUAGGCGAACAUGGCCGUGAGCAGCGUGGUCAGCAACCAGACGGCGACCUUCAUGCGAUGUCUUCUAGGGCUCUCUGGCACUCGCUCAAACCACCUCAGGAAGGAGAAGAGCAAGACGAGAUUUAAGUAGGAGAAACCAACGAAGGAGAUGCUCCAGAAGUCGUCUCUCGAGCGGUAGAGGGCCAUGACGGUGUUACCGGUGAGGAGGCAAAAACCAAAAAGGGUGAGCCACGAGGAACCGCCGCGGUCCCUCACCCUUCCUGCCUGUCCUAACUCCGCGUGGUGGUGCCGAUCCAUGUGUCGCGCGCGAAAGAAGAACAGAAGUCUGUUAACAAAGUAAGGCCGGAUGGGGGUCUGCGGAGUGGGGAAGGAGAAGGAAAGCACAAGGGAUGAGCUUUUAAGGCCAAGACCUUGUUUAGUUUAAAAAAAAAUUGUAAAAUUUUUUAGAUUUCUCGGUCACAUCAAAUCUUGCGGCACAUAUAUGGAACAUUAAAUACAGAUUAAAAAAUAAUAAUAAUUAAUUGCACGGUUUGUUUGUAAUUUGCAAGACAAAUCUUUUAAGCCUAGUUCGUCUAUGAUUGGAUAAUAUUUGUCAAAUACAAACAAAAGUGUUAUAGUGUUUAUUUUGUAAAAAAAAAAUUAGAACUAAACAAAGCCUUAAAAAAAAAGUACUGUCACCGGGUGUCACGAAGACGAUUGCAUCGAUCGACUGACGAAGCCAACUCAGAAGCAGAGAGUCCAGGGCAGGCCGGAGAACGUUUUGCUGUCACACAACUGUACGUUUAGAUACACUCAACUGAAUAAGUUUGAGGAUCUAUAUGGGAAAUUUUCAAGUUUGAACAGGAUGACACAAUCGAUAUACAACUUUUUAUUAAAAUUUUCAAGUUUGAACAGGAUGACACAAUCGUAUAAACUCAAAUGAAGAUAAACUUUUUAUUAAAAUUGUAGCUAGCAACGCGAUUUACAACUUUGUUGUUGAAAUGUUUUAAACUAAAAUCAUUUAGGGUCUCCAAAUAUUUUUUAUAAGUUUAUAGAUUUUGCAAUUUAAAAUUUGAAAUUAAAUUUUGUGACACUAAAUGACUUCAAAUAAAAAGCUUUUCAACUACAAGUUGUAGAUCACGUUGAGGACUAUAACUUUGAUAUAAAAUUUGUCUUUAUUUGAGUUGAUAUGAAAAAAAUUAUGAAUUUUUGAUAUAGUGUUUUUAGAUCGGUUUGUUUUGACCCAGAUGAGAGUCAAAACCAAGUUAAGAAAGAGAAGACCGCCAAACCAGCAAGGUAAGGCCUUGUUUAGAUACACUCAAAAACCUAAAAGUUUACAAGAUUUCUCAUCACAUCGAAUCUCGCGGCACAUGCAUGGAGCAUUAAAUAUAGGUAAAAAAUAACUAAUUGCACAGUUUACCUGUAAAUCGCGAGAUGAAUCUUUUAAGCCUAAUUAGUUCAUGAUUGAACAAUAUUUGUCAAAUACAAAUAAAAGUGUUACAGUAUCAAAAUCCAAAAAGAUUUUGAAUCUAAACACACCCUAAAUCUAUCAGUUUUGGACAGAAAAAAGCGCGAAAGAAGAUACCAGGAGUUUAUGCAUGGACAAUGGCAGACCCAGAUAUGUUUGUGGCCAUGUGUGGUGGAUCUACAGGUAUACCGUAUAUACCACGGAAUCAAGAUUGUUUAAAACCCACUCCCCUUUGCUUCAACCACAGAAUUCAGACCAUUGGUGGCUCAUUCGCGUGUUGACACAUGUCAUUGUUUGUUUUACAAAAAGGCCCUUAAGUUCUUGGAAUCAACCUGCAGUCGAAACCCUUCCCAUCAGACCAUCUUGCAUCGUGACCUAUCGAUCCCCAUCUCUCCUUUCUCUCCUCUUCAUGUCGCCGCCGCCGCCGCCUUUCUCUCCUCUCCCCGCCACUGACGCCGUCUCCUCCGCACCUCCACCCCCUGCGGAACCUCCACACAGGCGUCGCUCGAGAUGGAAGCCGCAUGGCCUUUGCGGCACAGGGCGCACAAGAUCAGAAGGCGCAUAAUUGGGGUGCCAGCUCCCACGCUUGUCAUGGUCGGCAGAGGAGGAGGUAUUGCUGGACCCUCCCUUCCCUCUCCUCCCCCAUCACCACCUCCAUACCGGCAUGAGCAUCGUUGUUGCUCCUCAGUUCGUGAGAGAGGGAUCUCCACCUUCUUUAUCGUGUCUUUGGAACGACAACACACUAUGGUCUUGCCCGCCUCUUCUCAAGUCGUCGUUGUCUUCCAUUAGAGCAUCUCCAAGAGAUUAGCUAAAUCAUUUUCUAAAGGUAAAUUUAGCUAUUGUUGAAGGAAAAACGUUUCCAACAGACUCUGUAAAUGACUCUUCAAAUUUAGUAGCUCUCUAUCCCACAUUAUUCGCUCUCUACUUUUGGAUAGUCUACCUCACUAGCCAUCCUUUACAGAGUCUGUUGGAGUACUCUAAUAAUUUUUUAUCAAAACUAUUUUAAAGAAUAGCUAAAUCGGUAAAUUUAGCUAAUAUUUUUGACUAAUCUCUUGGAGAUACUCUUAAAUCCCAGCAAGGCAGCAAUACAGUGUGCAAGCAGUGAAUCUUUAUUCACGAGUGGUGCCGGUGAGCUUCCCUUCCCCAUUUCUACUGCUUUGAUCCGCUCCUGUUGCCUGCUUCGUUCUUUGUUGUUGCUCUGGAAAAAAAACAGGGUCACGGGUACUCUCAUGCUGAGCAACAGCCUAGAGCUAACGAAGCGAAUCAACCAAGCAACUUAUUCUUUUGUCUUCUCCUUCACUCAGGCUCUCUUGAUGCGACAUGGAGGCAAGGUCCUCCACGUGGAUCUCGGCGCCAGCUAUCAGAUCCGGCGUACUUGAAGCAUCCAGAAAAGAACAUGAGCACCAUGGCAGCCAUCAGCCGGCCGUCCGGCCAAGAAGCCUUUGGCCACACGACAUACACGGUGACCACCACCUGGGAGGCCAAGCCCAGCAGGUGCCGCUUCCACAGCUCCUUGUCCUGCAUUGACAGGGCUGUGAUGGUGUCCUGCCCGCCCAGUUGGACCAGCACGAACGGCGCCCAGAAGGAGAUGAGCUGCCGGCCCGGCUCGCUCGCGUGGACAGCGAGGUGGCCGAGCACAAAGAUGGCCACAGAGUCAGCUGACAGAUAGGCCAGCCACAGCACAAUUUGAAGUACCGGCGACGUGUUGCGCAUCCGCAAAACCAGCAAAGGCGAAGAGGAAGACUUGCAGGAAAAGGCUGACGAGGAUCAGGCAGUGGAUCUCCAUCUCCCACGCGUUCCAGACCUCUUGGACAGCAGGCAUCAAGCUGUGGAGUUCACCACACUUUAAUUAGGUUUGCAAGCUCUAAGUAAUCCAAACUUCCAAAGCACAUGAAGAUAAAAACAUAUGAAUGAAAUCACCCCACAGUCCUCGACCGAUCCAAAGGUAUAGAUAGUCAUCGCUGCCAAAUUAACUCGUUGUUGACACUCAAAAAAGCCUCAACAUGGAAAUGGGCAUCACCAACAAGUUCCUAGCAUCAAGAUUCAAGGGAGUGUUGGAAAUUAAUUGGCGCGGCAAAUAGCAAGAGAAACAAGCAAAGAAGGACGAAACGGUGUCUAGCCGGCCACUAGUACAGCGACGAUUUUUUCUCCUGGUGGUAAUCAUUUUCUUCACUAGUGGUUCGUAACCAUCAGGCACCGGUAAAGAAAAAUCCAUGGGUCCAAAAAAAGAAUAGCAUGUUAAACUCAUUUACACUGGCAGUUCCUCUAAGAAAACCGCUAGUGUUAAUGCUGUAUUAUACUAGCGGUUUGCAUUAAGCAACCACUAGUAUAAAUUACUGGCAAUUCACUUAACCAAUCGUCGGUGUAAAUAAAUAUUAGCGCUGACGGUUCGCUUAUGUGAUCAACUAGUGUAUUUGAUUUUUACUAGCGAUUAUUUGAAAGAGCCGCUUGUAAUAAAUCCACCAUGAAUAUUGCCUCUUCCUCCCUCGACCAAAAUUAGCCGAGCCACCUUCCAUUGGUGACGAACUUGGAGGUCCAAAAAAUUGCAACAUACAAGGAGGAGGUUUUGCUUUUCAUUUCUUUGGAGGAGUUCGCGCACAAGCAGGUUAGUUAAUGACUCUUGUAGCUCUUCGCAUUAGUGCUUCUCAAUUUGAGUUAAAACUAGAUCUAGACAGUUUCAUGGUUGUUUUUAGAGAGAGAGAGAGAGUGGUAGUAGAUUUUUAGUCUAUGGUUUCAAUGGUGUCUCAAAAGCUUUGAUUAGGCAUGUGCGGCGCUCCAGUGGCAGCAUAGAAUCAGCCGCUGCUCCCUCGUCUCCCGCCGCUUCCACGAGCGCCUCAUCUCCCACCGCAACCUCCUCCUCGUCCUCCCUGCUGGCCACGCUCUUCUCUGUUCGGAUCCAGGCCGACCUCCUCCUCGUCCUCCCUGCCGAUCGCGCUCUUCUCCGUCCAGAUCUAGGCCGGCGGCGGCGGUGCUCUUCUUCGACCAGAUCCAGGCCUUUACCGCGCGGGGAAUGGCCUCCUCUAUCGACGCGGCACGGGGGGGUCUCGGCCCCCUCUUUCGGUGCGAUAGUGUGUGGCAGCUCGGCAUCCGGAUCCAUAAUGGCAUGGCGCGGACCCUCUCUCUCUUGCCGAUGCUCAGAUCCACGGUGACAACGGCAGCGGCAACCUGAUCCAACUACGUCCAUCGUGUCCAGAUCCUACAGCGGGAAGGCGCAUGUGGCUUUAACAAGCGAUGGCAGCUGCGGUGUGUGGAUGGGCUCGGUGGGCUUAUCCACGGUUUUUUUAUUUUUUCUAUAGGGGUUUUUUAUUUUUUUUUAUUCUAUUAACUGAGGCGGGCAAUAGACCGCGUCGGAUAUGGUCACAUUUACUGUGAGCUUUGCUUUGAGAUGUUUUUUAUGCUAGUCUCAGAAAAUGCUUUCAAACCGUCUUAGAAAAGUUUUUAUGUAGUAGUGUCAAAAUUAGACCAAGGAUUUCAUGGAAAGAGAGAGAAAUGAUUAGAUUUUCUUAGAUAUAAGGUUUCAUGUUUUUCUUAAAAAUUUAAGAUUAGUUGGCAUAAAAAUUUUAAAUUAGAUUAGUUGGCUUAAAAAUUUUCUUAAUCUGUGUUGAUAUGUUUACACUAGCGGUUUGUCUAAGUUAAGGACUAGUGUAAAUCAUUUUUACAUGGUCAGUUAACUUAUGCAAACCACCAGUAAUACUGGCGUAUCGCAAGUAUGUGCCUGCAGUAAUCACGAUUGUUUUAGAGUACUCACAAUGCAAGACUUUAUCACAUAGUCCAAGAUAAUUAAUUAUAUAUUAUUUAUGAUAUUUUGCUGAUAUGGCAGCAUAUUCAUUGAAGAAAGAGGUGGAAAAAAUAAGACUCUAAGUCUUAUUUAGACUCUAAGUCCACAUUGUUCGAGGUAAUAAAUAACUUUAGACUCUAUGAUAGAGUCUGUAUUGUAAGUGCCCUUAUGUUGGCGGACGCUAAACGCAAGACUGCCAGCACAAUGCUGUACUAGUGGGCUUGCCAAGCCAGCUAAGCCGGCUCCCUGCCUAGUCGGCUUAGGCCGUGUUUAGUUGGUGAAGGAAAAAAUUUUACGACACUAUAGCACUUUCGUUUGUUUAUGGUAAUUAUUGUCCAACUAUGGACUAACUAGGCUCAAAAGAUUCGUCUCGUAAAUUUCGACCAAACUGUGCAAUUAGUUUUUAUUUUCGUCUAUAUUUAAUACUCCAUGUAUACGUCUAAAGAUUCGAUGUGACAGAGAAUCUUGAAAAAUUUUGGAUUUUUUUGGUGGAAGUAAACAAGGCCUAGCUGAUGGGUUCCCAAAGUCGGAUGACUAAAUAAUUGAAGAAUAUAUAUUUGAAAAAACAAAGUAAAAGAGGAAAAAACAUUACAUCAUCAUUAUCAGUAAUUGAUGUUAAUAUGUGGGAUGGCAAGGUAACUUCGUGGGCAUGUGGUGGAAACGUCUCAAAGUGCACUAAUAAAACCCUUACCGUUUGAGAAAAUUCUAAACUAGACUAAUAACAGUUAGAUGUUCACAAAGACACUUGGCAAAUCUUGAAAUUGUUCAAAAUUUUAAAUUCAGAAAAUUUAUGGAAGCUGAAAGAUAAAGAUUGGGGAAUCUUAAAUUCCUGUAGUGACCGGUGUUAGCAACUUCAGCGGACACCUUUGCAUUGUGGGGGCAGCCGAUUUGCAUUGUGAAGCCAAUUUUAGUUUUCAAAAUUAUAAUAAACGGUGAAGGGAGAUGGGAUAUCACAUAUACUGCUUUCUAGAGUUUACGAGGUGCUUUCAUAAAUUUUCUCUAAGCACAUCUCCAACAGUUUGCUAAAAAUUGUUUGCCAUAUUUUGAGUUUUGACAACUUGCUAAAAGAUUUGGCAAGUUGUCAAAACUCAAAAUAUGGCAAACAAUUUUUAGCAAACUGUUGGAGAUGCUCUUAGAAGAUGCUUUCAUCGAUAGAGUGUUCAUGAAACCAAGCAUAAAAGGUAUACAGCCAAAACCAGCUGGACCAUGAUCUGCAUAUAUACCAAAGGAUGAAGGUGGUUUGGGGGUAAUAGACAUCGAGAAACAUAACCAAGCUCUACUGCUAAAGAAUUUACACAAUAUUUUCAACAAGUCAGACAUUCCUUGGUUUCAUCUCAUUUGGGAAGAGCUUACCCUAAUGGCAGGCUGCCAAAACACACAAAAAAGGAGGUCAUUCUGGCGGAGACAGAUUGAAAGGCUUGCAGACUUACAAAGAAAUGGCUUUGGUGGAUGUCAAAAAUGGUCAAACAUGUUUGUUCUGGCAAGGUACUUGGGGAAAUGUGAAUUUGAGAGCCAACUAGCCUGGACUUUUCUCUUUUGCCAAAAUCAAGUUCAUCUCAGUGGCAAAGGCAUGGAAUCAGAAGAGUCCAAAUCAACUCAUUCACCUUCCAAUGUUUAGAUAUAGCUCAUGAUCAAUGGAAUAGGAGCUCUGGCACCGGACGCGGCUGAAACUCUGUUGAGUGUCCAGUGAGCAGAGACGUCAGCAGGGUCACAACUCACGAGCGAAGGUUUCGGGCAAAGUGCGUCGGACGCUGAGGCGCAUCCGAUGGCAUACCGUCAGACUCAUCUGAUGCAUCUACGAGCAGCUUUGGAACUCUCUGAGUAGCAUCUAGUUUGGGAUAGGAGCAUCCGGUGUGUAGCACCUAGUACGCCCGACGCCUCCUGCACAAGUGUGUUAACAUUUAAGUGACCGUUGGAGAUCAACAGCUCACGUUUAACUGAGGACAUGUGGCAGCAAUCGAGAGCUGUUGGCAGAGCAGUGUCGAAUGUUGAGGGGCGCUUAUAAAUACGUGUUGGCUGGCUUGGCUCGGGGUCUUGGCCAUUUUUAUUGACAUAGUAACCUUGUGAGCCUAGCCAACACACUCUCACUCAAUUGCAUUAUUGUUUGAUCAUCUUUUUGAGAUUGGGGGAGCAUCCAAGUGCAGUGCUUGAGUGUUUGCAUCUAGAGGCACUUGGUGAUCGUGUUUCACUGCAGAAUUCUCUUGUUACUCUUGGAGUUUGCUGACCCCUAGAUGGCUUGCCGGCAUUCUCUAUUGUGAUUAAUUGGCUCAUUCCUCUACGCGGUGGUAUAUCAAUCUUAACCUUUCUUUGCAUUACUUUGCUAGCUAGUUCGUGUAGCUCUCUUGCUUAGCUUAUCAUCGGGCAAGUAGUGACAUAGUUUUGGUGUGCUUCCUAAGAGACUAUAGAAACUAGAUUGGAUAGGAGGCUUGUAUUAUCCUUGUAGAGCUAGUGCCAAAUUCACUCUGCUAUCUUAUAUACUGAUCAAGUGCUUUUAGUAUUGUUGUAGAAAAUUUUAUUAGGCUAUUUACUCAUUCUAGCCAUUAAGACCUUUCAGUGGUUAUCACUAGGGCUUUGCACAACGUGAUUCUAUGACGCACUUAUUUGGAGAUUGUGUGAUGUGUUCUGGAAUAUGAUUGUGAGGGGCUACUAAGUUUAUUUCCCAUCAGAGAGCCAAAAAACUACUCUAUUGGAUAUGAGGCUAGAGGAGCACCUUGAGAUAAGUGCUCACAUAAGAGCCAACCAAGGGAUUGUUGAGCUUGUAGAGGAGCAAAACUUGCCUUAGCGUGGUCAUAACAAAUCAACAAACCGUGAAAAUAUAUCUAGUAUUAUCCUCUUAGUGUGAGUUUUGGAAGAUUGAAGAGAUUUAGUAUGUCACGGAUAUAGAUAAUAAAAUCUAUAUAUCUAAAAAAAGCUAAAAAAAUAUCAUUCGAAAAUUAGAAUAAUUAAAAAUUACUUUUUUUAGAUCGAUACUUUGUUUUGGAUCAACGAGGAAAAAUAACUUAGGGGGUGUUUAGUUUUUUUUUCUAAAAAAUUUUGAGGUUUGGUCCAUCAUUUUACAAAAUGAAACUAAAUACUAUACAAAAUUUUUAGCAAAAAGGUGGUUAUUCUCUAUUUUGGAUUUUGGGCUUAAGAGGCCAAAAAAUCACCAAAAGAGCCUCAAGUGGCUUUAAUGAAAGCAACUCCAAGAGAAGAGCUAUCCAUGUUAUGUAUUCUAUAUUUGGCUAUUUUAGAGAGAAAAGAGAGUCCAACAGCUAUUGUAUUUGGUUUGCUAAAAUAGCAAGUCAUCUAUCCCGGAGUUCUCACAUGGUAAAUAUAGUUUGCAUGUCCCGUUAGCCAUAUGAUUUGCCGUAUUAGAAAGAUUGUUGAAGAUUUUUGUUUUUUUGUAUGAUUGUCUAUUUUAGAAGUUGGCUAAAUCUUGAAUUAAGCCAUCCAUUUUUAUCAACUCUCUUGGAGUUGCUCUACGGGCAAUAAAUUAUGCAUUUUGAAUGGAAUUAAAUAUGACCCUAAAAAUUUUAGCAUUUUACAUUUUAUCACUCUAAAGUAGUUUAACAUUUUGCAUUUUAUUACUCUAAAAUAGUUAUCAUUUUGUAUUUUGAAUUCUACGGAGAACUGAACACCCCUUAAUCAAACUCAAAUAUAUCAUUUCGGUCGCGGACACCCCCAAAAUCCAUCAGACCUCCGGCCCCGGCGACGCCCAAACCCUCGCCGUCGCGCCGUCUCCAAAAACCCCUUACCAUGGCCGCCGCGACAGCCGCGGGGGCCGGAGCUGCGACCCCGCAGCCGCCACGGCAGUACAAGCUAGCUCCGCAGAGCGAGCUGCGUGUGGAGGUGCUCCCCGACGCGCCCCUCCGAGUGCGCCUCGUCACCGGCACGGCGGAGAUCUUCGGCACCGAGCUGCCCCCGGAGGGCUGGGUCCCCGUCCCUCCCCGAUCCAAGAUCGCCGUAAGCAAACCCAGUGGCCCCUUGUCCUGCUUUUGCGGCCAUAGUUCGUCGGUGUUGAUUUCAGUCCCCGUUUGUUUUUGUUUGGUCAGAUUUUCACCUGGCACGGCGCGACGGUGGAACUGGAUGGGGUGAGCGAGAGCGAGUACUCGUCUGACGAGGUGAGCGCUCGGUGUCCUCCUCCUCCUCCUCCUCCUCUCUCUCUCUCUCUCUCUCUCGCAUCGUUUCUGUGUAAAUUUGGGAAUAAUGAGGUUCUUGGGGGGUGAUGCUGUGGUGAGAUGAUUCUGUUAUUGUGGGUUACAGACUCCAAUGGUAAUUUACGUCAACACGCACGCCAUUCUGGAUGCCCGUAGGGCAAGGGCGAGGGCUGCUGCAGCUCAGGGGGGCGAUAUGGAGGCCUCACAGGUGAGUUAUCCUGAAUUCCUGAUUCAGUUCAUCUCAUGACCAUUCGAUUGUAGUGUUGUUGCAUAGUUGCGUAUCUGUAGGAGAUGCAAAGCUUUAUCCCAUAGAACAAAUGUGCAGAACAACCAAACACCAAGACACUGCAUAUGUUUAUGUUGACUUAGGCUGCAUACGUUUAUGUUGACUUAGGCUGAGGCUGAUACAAGCAAGCAACCAGACCCUAUAUUUAUCUCAUUUUCCCUGGACUAUUUCACUGAAGUUUUCUCCCUAUAUCUGGCUUAGGGACCUAGAGUGAUUGUUGUGGGGCCAACAGAUUCCGGAAAAAGUACUCUCUGCAAGAUGCUCCUUAGCUGGGCUGCCAAACUGGGCUGGAAGCCUACAUAUGUCGAUUUAGAUAUUGGCCAGGGGUCUAUAACAAUCCCUGGAUGUAUUUCUGCCACACCAAUUGAGAAACCUAUAGAUAUAGUUGAUGGGAUUCCCUUGGAAAUGCCACUUGUAUACUUCUAUGGCCACUCAAGUCCAAGGUAUCCCUCCACUUUGUUCUUUGGCAGUUGAUACUACUCGGAGCUUUCUGCAUUAACACUGUUCCUUUGUCUACUGUUUUGACACUUUAACCUUUGCUUGUGUUACCAACAGUAUUAAUGCGGAUGUUUACAAAGUUCUUAUGAAGGAGCUAGCUAAAACAUUGGAGAAACAGUUCUCUGGCAAUGCUGAAUCUAGGGCAGCAGGAAUGGUUAUCAAUACAAUGGGGUGGGUUGAAGGCCUUGGGUAUGAGGUUAGUGGUUGGCUUCAAGUAACUAAUGGCCAUUUUCCAGAUUCAUACUGUUCCCCUGUGUGUAGCAAGUGAUAAUUCAUUUUUACGCUCUGCAGUUACUUCUUAAUGCAAUUGAGACCUUCAAGGCCAAUGUAGUACUGGUACUGGGACAGGCAAGUUCUGCAUUGUUUUGUUUAUGUGAACAUUACUGGGUUUUUUUCAGAAGGUUUAUGCUGUAGUUGACUCAUGCUGUGUUUCAUUUCACACUCAUAACUGCUCAAACAUAGACUAUAUUAUUUGUUCAACUUAUAGCCAAAUGCCAUGGGCAACCAAACAUUUUGUUAUAGCAGUAUGCUAUAGUCAAGGUUCCAUGUUAAUCAUUUUAAAGUUAGAAGUAAAACUUCCCUAUAAAAUCAUUCAUAAAAGAAUUUAGACCCUAUUGAGUAAGAUGAUAUUUGUUUUUGGGGCUGGUAGAGACAUCUUGGGCACUAGUAGGAAUGUGUUGCAGCAGUAAAUAGCAGCUAAUCUCAAGUAGAAACAAAACAUAUUCUGCUAGCAGUAUCCCUUUUAGCAUGUUUUCUUAUAAACAUCAUUAUCACUAUGCUUCAUUGAUGCAUCAAGUGUGCUAUAUGGAAGUUAAUUGAGAUAUUUCUUUUCAAAUAAACCAAAAGAAAAUCUGGGCCAUAUGAAGAAACCUCAGCUGCUGAAAAUAAAGGUUUCUACUGACAUGUCUAAUUCUAGAUAAUAGUCAAAAGAGUGCUCAGGUUGCAGCAACUGAUAUAUUCAGAAUGAUGAAGAGAGAAAAGGUGCAUAUAAGCACAAGUGUCAAGUAGGAAAAAUGGCAGAUGUCACUAACUGCAACUAUUAGCAUGUAUGAUUUGUCAUAUUGGCACACAUUACAGCGUGAAUGAUAAUGAUAUAAAGUGCUCUAGAGAGCUCUUCAAUAUUAGUCAUUUUAUCUUGAAUGUAAAAUCAUGUAUAAUUAUGAAUCCAUAUGAUAAUGAAGCCCUUCUGGGUAUUAUCUGAUCUAUCUUAUGGCUUGCAGGAGAAACUCUGGAAGAUGUUAAAAGAUGCAGUUCAAAGCAAGUCCAACAUUGAUGUUGUAAAACUUCACAAAUCAGAGGGUGUUGUCCUCAGAAAUACAAAAUAUCGGCAAAAAACGAGAAGCUUCCGAAUCAGGGUAAGCUAUUUUUCUGGAGUAGAAAGUGACCAGCUAUGCCCUCAAACAUUGGUUUAAACUAAAAAGGCUUUGUUUGUUAUCUAAUGUGAAAUUUUAUUGAUGGUAGCAUAGUUGUCAUCAUUGUACACCGUCACAGUCUUAGCCUCUUUUCUUUUUCCCCUCUUCUAAUGUUGCCCUUACUGCCUUUAUGGGGUAAUGUUUCACUGUCUCAACCUUAUGUUUUGAUCUGUCUUGUUAAAGCUAAGUCCUAAUUUGCUCUUGCAGGAAUAUUUUUAUGGGAUUGCAAAUGAUCUUGCACCGCACUCAAACAUUGUCAAUUUCAGUCAUGUCUCGGUGUACAAAAUCGGUGGUGGCCAUCAAGCUCCCCGUUCAGCAUUACCUAUCGGUGCAGAGCCUGUGGCAGAUCCUACUCGACUUGUUGCUGUCAACAUCAGCACGGAUAUGAUCCAUACAGUGCUUGCCAUUUCCUAUGCUAAGGAACCUGAUGAAAUAAUUUCUAGGUAAUAAUUUCAUACCAGGUUUAACUUAUGUUACAGGCUUGGUCCAAUAAGAGAGCUUUUAUGCAAAAGAGACUCGGAUUAGAGGUAGUAGAUCACAAAAGGCUACAUUAUUCAGAGUACAGCUGAUACGCCAUCCUUCAGAAAAUUAAAAUUAAAAUACAUGGUGCAAGUAAUUGAUCCUUGGAUUUGCUUGCAUGUUGUUCUACCACAUUUUAAGUCUCUCAAAUUCAACGAUAGCUUAGCUUAGCCACUUCUUGAAUUCUCUUCUGCGCAUCUUUUGCAUGAACAGGUGCACAGCUAUGCCCCUCCUAGCCAUAAGCUCGUAAGUUCAUGACAAUUCCAUCUUGCUUAUGUUACUGAUAUACUCUUUUGAGUGUCGUCAGCAAUAAAUCAUAUUUAGAUAUAGAUAUGAGAAGCCAAAGUCUUCUGACUAGUCUAUCUUGCAAAAAGGUUUUCAUCUGUCAAGUGGCUCAAAUCCUGGCAAUAAAUAUUUUGUUAGGAAUGAUUUUAGUUGUCAUGCACUCAUGCUUUGGACAAAGAUGGUAUAGACGAUAUUUUUCUUUUAGUGUGUUCAUAUUGGGCAUGAUGAAAAUUUACUAGUGUGGUUGCUGCUGGACCACUUUUUUUAUUUUUCCGUACAACUUUCUUUGAACUCUUCCUUUACUAUUAGCAAGAUCGGCAGAAUUUUCAGCUUUCAUUCCAUUACAAGUUGCAUUACCUUUCUUGAUAUACGUUUAACACCUGCUACACGAUACAUUGCAGCAAUAUUGCCGGAUUCAUUCAUGUUACUGAUGUUGACAUCCAAAGGUAUGCUUAGGAGACAGCGCUAAUAUGCGAGUUUUUAGAUUAUCAGUGUGCACCAAGAACUAACAUUCUACAUUCUAGGAAGAAGCUGACGUACAUUGCACCUUGCCCGGGGGACUUACCAAGCAGGCUGUUGAUCGCGAGUUCACUGACAUGGUACGAAGCCUGAUCAAUCGAAGUUAGAUGUGCACUGACAUGCCCAUUUGCAUGUUGUAAAGCCAGGACAUGUGACGCUGGAACUGAACUGAGCGUUCGAUGUCCCACUGCUAACCAAGAGAAACGAUGCAAGGCCAAACAUCCUGUUCACGCUUAUGAUUUCAUGUGUUCUGAUUUCUUCUCGUGAUUAAACGUCAUCAUCUACUGUGCGGUUGAGAUAACGAAAUUCUUGUCCUAGUUUUCACCCAGUGGAUUUUUAAAAAUGAAUAGAGCUGUGGAUUAUGCGUCAUCUCAUCUGUACAUACUGAAUGAUCUGGAUGUACCAUAAAUGGUACUAGAAACACUGCGAAACUAUUGUAGCCAUCACAUGUAUGUAGAAUGAAACGGCAAGGCGCCAACCAACAUUAUACGCACAUUAGAUCGUGAAACCAUUUUAGCAUCACAUGAAUGUAGAAUGAAACAGCAAAUCAGAUUGGGAUUCCGCGACUAAAAUCUGACAGAAUUUAUUCAGCCACGCGGAUGACACAUCCCUAAGCCGAAAUAAAAACAUAGCAGGGGCGUUGCUACUGUGACUUCCAUUCACUGUCUACAAAUAAUACAAAGUCGACGUACAACAGAAACGAAAAGAAAAAUCCACUGGCACUUAACUUUUAACAUCUUGUAUAAAGAUCGAGAAAGCAGCAACAAAAUCUCCAAACAAAUGAAUUGGGAGACGUACAGGUCGGGCUCAUGGAACCCAUAUCUAAGGACAGAAGAUCUACAGACCCUGAUGUUGCGGAUGAGAGGAGCAUCAACACCAGUAAGUUAAGGUCACCACCACAAUUACAAAAAGUAGUCUGGGGUUUUGCGGGUUGUGUCUGGCUCAAUUUGCCGAGGUGCCGGGUCAAAUUGAAGGAAGUUCUGGUCCAUGUUUUCCCCAAUUUCAAGAAUAGCAGCCAUGUUACCACAUCGGUAACAAUAGUUAGGCGCACUGAAGACUGUGACUACAUUCUUAUCCUGCAAAAAUUAUAACAAUAACCAUUUAAGCUUCCAGUGGGAUAGUAUCUGGGCAAAAUAACAUUCAAAGGGCAGCACACCAAAGAUAAAUAAUCAGCAAGUUGCAACCACAAGGGUGCCUAGGGCUAUGCUCACAACAAAGGCUAUUGUUUGCAAGUCUUUCUAUUGACAAAAACAAUGUAUCUAGAGAAGCCAAAACAUCUUAUAAUUUGGAACGAAGGGAGUAAGUUCUAUGAGAAAAGAAAUCCACAAUGGUCAUAUCGUAACUGCAAGCUGAGCUAGAGAGGAACUACAAAGAUUAUAUUCACAAUUUAGUGUACUUUUUCAUGAUAACAAUCCAAUUGGUUGAGCAAAUAAACAAAUUGAAAAUGCAACGCUACAUUCUGAAGACCUACCUGGCACCAAUUAAAUCCUUCCAUUACAAGUUGAUGGGCCCUUGAAAUGAGAGAGAGACCAUUUGUAUGGUUGAACUGCUGCGCAAUGUCUUGCCCAAAUGUGUAACCUGCUCCUCUUGGUGAAAUUCCCCAUCCACAUCGGUCAUCUGGGUCAGACCACAAAAGAUCACACAUGGGUCCUUCAUGAGGAACCUGCACACAUUUUUUUUAGGUAUAUGAGUUGAGGAUUAAAAAGAUUAGAUGUAUAAUGCAUUCAAUUAAUACAGCGCAAGAAUUAGCAAACUAUCAAUUCAAGAUCCAUCACAUUGGGCACCAUUUCCUAGCACCCAUAAGCAUCACCUCAACAUUCAGGGCAAGGGGCACUAUCAGGUUAGUUAUACACAUAAUAAUGUGCAUAACAAAGUACGGUGGCCUCAAAAAAAAAUAGGUCUCUAACAAACCCUGUAAUCAUAGCAACAGAAAUUCGAAGUACCUUCUUAAAAUAGUUCACUAUCAGAUGCAAAUGUUUCACAAACAAAUAUGCAUGUGCUGGCAAUAUUAUAAGCAAUAAGCAAACCUCAUUGCAAAUGACUACUGGUUGGUCACUUCACUAAUAGUGAGAUGUCAGCCUCAAGCACCAUGCUGUCUUUUUCUUGGGAACUAUCAAGCAAUAAGCACCUACGGAAGCAGACUUAAUAUGGCUCCACUGGCAAAUCAUCCCAUAUUCCCAUGCUGCCUUCUUCUUGGGAACUAUCAAGUUUGGUCCUUGGAAAAGAAUUUUUAAGAGCUGGGGGGGCUCUAAGAUGCAAAUUCUUCUUUCGUUAGCCAUCAAUACCGGUAUUGGAUGGCUGAUUGCAUUGCAAAGCACCGAUUGCCUCAUCAGCCUGCCUACCUGUUUCGUGAUCAGGCUGAGGAAGCAAUUUAGCACGUCUUAAUCUCUUGUGUGUUCAACCUGCAGGUCUUGACUAUGGUUUUUAAGAAAGUUUCCAUGGUUGCAGUUGCACCUCCAGUUGAUGCAACUCACUUCUUUACAGCAUGUUUGGUUUGCGUCAUGAAGCAGUUCGGAAUCAUCCGAUCCAAAAUCCAAGCCUAGCUGAGACCAUUUGGUUUGUGUUGCGUCAUCAACUCGUUCAUCAUGGAACUGUUCCACGUGCGGCGUUCCCAUGAACCAACAGCGAGCUCAUCUCUCAGGCAAAGUCAUUCCGCAAAAAACGUCAGACAAGCUGAUUCUUUUUGGUGCCUGACCAGCCCAUCGGAAUGGAUUCAAUCUCCAAACCAAACAGGCUAUUAGAUAGUGAGGAACACUAUCAGAAUUCAGAAAUAUUCCCAAGGAGAUGCCACAAGGGGCUGAACUCCUUGGCCCUUUUAGUGGCCUAGGAAGUAAACAUAGGAAUGCCUGUGUGUCUGAUGGAGAUUUGCCAAACAUUCUGGGUCUCCUAAAAACAGUGGUUGAUGAGUGUAGUAUAUGGUGCAUGGUGGGUGCUUCUAAUCUCCAGGAUCGCUCUUUAGGUCAUUUGCCCCAUAACUUUUAGGUUCUAGUUGGUAGGUUAAACCCCUUGGUUGUGAUCUCUACUUCAGUCAGUGGCGAAUGUUUUUUUUAGAUAGCCGGUUGUGGUGUGUUUGGGUGGGGCUGUUUUAGCUUGCCCUCAUACCUUUCUUCUCCUGCAUCGUUUGAGAAAAAUGAUACCUCAAAUCAGUCACUGAUUAACACUAAAUGGUACCAAGUAUAGAUCAAGGUAAAUCCCUUGUAUUGCUAAGUGCACGUGCAAAGUGACAGAAUAAGUGUUGGAAAAUGUCAGCUUUCAAUAUAAACUUUCAUGAUUCAACCACGUGCCUAUAUUUGCUGAUUUUUAGUUGUCGUGCUUUAGUUCUCCUUAGGUAAGCCCAUUCCAUGAGAAGAUUAAACGAUGUUAAGUGUCCCUCUAAAAUCAAAAUGUCGUUACAAAAUUGUAUCGGCAUGACUUGAGAUAAUUAAAUAUGGCGGCAUCUGUCUAGAUAAAUAACUGUAUCAUGGUUAGAGCACCAUGUUUGUACCUUAAUCGGUAUUAAGGAUCCACAGUUCUGUACAUAAACAGUAAACAUUAGGACCACAUCGGACAUGGCUGAUCUACUAGUUGCACAUACCCAAAAAUACAUAAAUAUGUUAAUUCUCCCAACAUCACAAAACUACCUACAGCAUAUCAGUGUUACUAAGCAAUUUUAUCAAAUCAUUCAGUUGACACUAGUUGCCAGCCUGAUUAGUCAAGCCUAGUCGGUUAGUCAUCCUAUAUAGUUAGGACUGAUAUAACAAUAUUAGAAUCUAUAAUCUACUAUCUACUAUACCUAACUAGGAGAACCCCACUAGCAGAUUUCUCUGCAAUUUUGUGAAGCCACGUCAUGCCACAAGCCCCACCAAGUUACUAAGCUCGGUCACUAAAUUACAAUCCCAUUAAAUAUAAUCAGAAAAUGAAGAGACAACGAUGAACUCCAAAUAAAUUGCAUUCCUAGCUGCUCAACCAUGCAAUCCAUUUACCCCAUUCCUCUCCUAUUAAUUAAUCAAUUUAGCUUGCAGCGAACAUCUUUUCACAUUCACGGUGCUAUCACCACUCCCACUUCCCAUUAAGGCUAAACAAAGUAGUACAUUAGUAAUGAACAUGCAUUAAUUUUCCUUCUCCACUUGUAACAGCUAUGCCAACAAGAGUAUAUAUAUUGGACUUUUUCUAUGCCCCACAUUUCUUUGGCAAGGGUCAGUGACUCUUAUGAAGUUGGAAAUAUUACUUUGGAUAUUCAUCCUCAUCCACCAAAUCCGCUAUUUAUGCCUCGGUAGGAAAUAUCAAUUGGCACUUCGUGUUUAAAGUCCAUUAGAUGUUUUUGUCUAAUCAUGAAUAGGAUUAUGUUUGAUUUAUAUCUAUAGGAUGUCGCAGCAUAAUUUGCACUGGGAGAAUAGGGGCUUCACUGAAUCUGUCUAAAAUGUUGGGAAGACUUUGCACUGAAUGAUGUUCACUUCUCCAAUAGCAAACAAUAGAUUAAGGAUGGCAUUUUUAAUUUCUUCGCACAAGCAGUGCAAGUAGGCAGGACAAUUAUACUGCCCGACUAGCUGACUAGCCACCGACCAAUUGAACCUGGGGCCUGUUUGGUUACCAGGCCAACCUUUGGACAGGCCAGCUGGGGCUAACAUUGGGUUGUUUGGUUUCAUGACUUUGGGCCUUAGCCAGGCUUCUGCUGGCCGCCCUACAGGCCUUAGCCUGGCUCCCAGAGAACAGGUUGCCGGUCCGUUUUUCUGGAGAAUGGCUUGGCCAGUGCUCCGUCUCUCAUCCCCUCACCUCCUGGUCCUUCACAGUUCACACGCAGUGAGCCAAAAGGCAGCGAGGUCCGCCAACUCCUCCCCUCCCCGCCAGUGGGUGGUCCCCUGCUCUGCUCGUCGCCGGGGGGGGGGGGGGGGGGGGGUGGGGGGGUGGGGGAGGUCGACGGAAAGCGGGAAGCUCAUCCCUGUUCGUCCUCCUUGCCGCGGCCAUGGCGACAGGAAGCUCAGGGAGGCACCUACGACGUUCUCCCCAGUUCGCCAUUACCACCGUGGUGGAUCCACCCCUCCCUCCCCAGCCCACCAUUACCACCGCGGGGCAGGGGAGACCCAUCAGCGGCGAGAUGUGGGCGGCGGAGGCGGUGUUCUCGCGCUCGAGAUCGUGGCGGGAGGCGGAGGACGAGCAGGAGGCGCUGCAGCGGCUCCCCACCGUCACCCGCGCGCAAUGGGGCUGCUCAGGUCCCUGGCUCCUGACGAGGCCAUGGCCGUCGACGGGGAUGACGUGCUCUACAUGGUCGACCGCCUUCUCGCCGACUGGGGUACACGAGACGACAAAGCCGACUGGGGUGGUGUGUAGAGGGCCGCACCAAGGAGGUGGAUGACCAAGGCACGCCAGCGUUCCCAGCACUGCUCACCAUGCUCGUCAUGCUGUUAGGAUGCCUACAACGUGUUUGAUGAAAUCCCUGAAUGAGGGUAAACUUACUCACAUGGAUAAGAGGUGAUCCUAUCCAAAACAAUCCAGGCAACCAAACACACCCUGUGCUAGCCAGGCCUAGAUAACACGGACAACCAAACAACUAGAGAUUGGCUUGACAGAAGCAGGUUAAGCCUACCCAGACU
This 39063-nucleotide long non-coding RNA is filed under the name Sorghum bicolor (sorghum). RNAcentral's name for it is "long non-coding RNA (SBIC_LNC006043)". Lineage: Eukaryota; Viridiplantae; Streptophyta; Magnoliopsida; Poales; Poaceae. The record is from RNAcentral.